UAGGGAAUCUUCCACAAUGGGCGAAAGCCUGAUGGAGCAACGCCGCGUGUGUGAUGAAGGGUUUCGGCUCGUAAAACACUGUUGUAAGAGAAGAAUGACAUUGAGAGUAACUGCUCAAUGUGUGACGGUAUCUUACCAGAAAGGAACGGCUAAAUACGUGCCAA
RNAcentral lists this ribosomal RNA (164 nucleotides) under uncultured bacterium. RNAcentral's name for it is "partial 16S ribosomal RNA". It matches the Rfam family "Bacterial small subunit ribosomal RNA", at positions 355 to 511 of the family's 1533-position model. The record is from RNAcentral.